Molecule: ribosomal RNA, 497 nt
Filed under: uncultured bacterium
Lineage: Bacteria
Description: partial 16S ribosomal RNA
Rfam family: Bacterial small subunit ribosomal RNA
Source: RNAcentral
GACGAACGCUGGCGGCGUGCCUAAUACAUGCAAGUUGAGCGCUGAAGGUUGGUACUUGUACCAACUGGAUGAGCAGCGAACGGGUGAGUAACGCGUGGGGAAUCUGCCUUUGAGCGGGGGACAACAUUUGGAAACGAAUGCUAAUACCGCAUAAAAACUUUAAACACAAGUUUUAAGUUUGAAAGAUGCAAUUGCAUCACUCAAAGAUGAUCCCGCGUUGUAUUAGCUAGUUGGUGAGGUAAAGGCUCACCAAGGCGAUGAUACAUAGCCGACCUGAGAGGGUGAUCGGCCACAUUGGGACUGAGACACGGCCCAAACUCCUACGGGAGGCAGCAGUAGGGAAUCUUCGGCAAUGGACGAAAGUCUGACCGAGCAACGCCGCGUGAGUGAAGAAGGUUUUCGGAUCGUAAAACUCUGUCGGUAGAGAAGAACGUUGGUGAGAGUGGAAAGCUCAUCAAGUGACGGUAACUACCCAGAAAGGGGCGGCUAACUACGUG